GUGCUUGUCUCAGCUGCACAUACACUAAAAUUGGAACAAUACAGAGGAGAUUAACAUGGCCCCUGCUCAAGGAUGAUAUGCAAAUUCGUGAGCGUUCCAUAUUUUUU
This is a non-coding RNA of Erinaceus europaeus (western European hedgehog), 107 nucleotides long. Lineage: Eukaryota; Metazoa; Chordata; Mammalia; Eulipotyphla; Erinaceidae. The record is from Rfam.